GCCUUCGUGGUGUAACUGUUAGCACACUCGGCUCGUAUUAGAGAGGUCCAGGUUCGAGUCCCGGAGAGGGCA
Stegodyphus mimosarum is the source of this 72-nucleotide non-coding RNA. NCBI's taxonomy places the organism in Eukaryota, Metazoa, Arthropoda, Arachnida, Araneae, Eresidae. The record is from Rfam.